CACUCACGUCGUUUUUCAUGGAUCAGGAAGCACUUGACACGAUGAUUCGUAGAUACAGCAGCAGCUUGUAGUGUAACGUUAUGCGUGAAAGAAAAGCCUCAUCUCACUGGCUGCUAUGACCUAGCUAGUGAAGCGUUCUUUUCAUAUUGAGUUUAACCAACAAAAAAAAUCAAUUUUGGUAUUUAUUUAAGUAGUUAUUUUACUUGUAACUGUUUAUGGUUGCAUUGUCGGGAGCCUAUUAUUUGCUAGCCAGCCACGCAGCGGCUAGCUGGCUAGUUGACCGACGUCUUGUGGAUUGAUAUCUCAGCUCGCUGACGGUAACGUUAGUAGCGGGUAGCCGAGUCCAAGGCAAGGAACAGCUGCUUUUAAUCUUAGUGUUUUAAUCCCUGUUUUUACUUGUUAAAGAAGAUGAAGAUAACGGUGGAAUUCGAGGAAUGUCUCAAAGAUUCUCCAAGAUUCAGGGCCACCAUAGAGGAGGUGGAGGGGGAUGUUGGGGAGUUGGAGUCCAAACUCGACAAGCUAGUGAAGCUGUGCAUCGGGAUGAUCGACGCCGGCAAGGCCUACAACACGGCAAACAGACAGUUUGUCAACGGAAUCCGCGAGCUCGCUGCGAGCUCCACCAAAGAUGAGGUCAUUGAGUCCAGUCUCACAACGUUUGCUGAGAGUCUGCAAGAGAUGAUCAACUAUCACACGAUUUUGUUUGACCAGGCCCAGCGAUCGAUUAAGACGCAGCUUCUAACGUUUGUCAAAGAGGACCUGCGUAAGUUCAAAGAGGCCAAGAAGCAGUUUGACAAGGUGAGUGAGGAGAAGGAGGCGGCGUUGACCAAGAAUGCCCAGGCGCCGCGCAACAAGCAGCACGAGGUGGAGGAGGCCACCAACAUCCUGACGGCCACACGCCAGUGCUUCCGCCACAUCGUCCUUGACUACGUCCUCCAGAUCAAUGUACUACAGUCCAAGAGAAGAUCGGAAAUCCUCAAAUCGAUGCUGUCCUUCAUGUACGCCCACCUGACCUUCUUCCACCAGGGUUACGACCUUUUCAGUGAACUGCAACCGCUCAUGAAACAGCUGGGGGGUCAGCUGGACCAGCUGGUGGUGGAUGCAGCCAAGGAGAAGAGGGACAUGGAGCAGAAACACUCCACCAUUCAACAGAAGGCUGCACUGCAGGAGGUGACAGAGGUUGACCCUUUACCCGAUGGCCGCAGCUUUUGCGCAUGGAGAUCCUCCGACUUCUCGAAUGACGACACCAAGCUGGAGUACAAUGUGGAUGCAGACAAUGGCAUUGCGAUGGAGGGCUACCUGUUUAAGAGGGCCAGCAACGCCUUCAAAACAUGGAACAGGCGCUGGUUCUCCAUUCAAAACAAUCAGCUAGUUUACCAGAAGAAAUUCAAGGAUAAUCCCACAGUGGUGGUGGAGGACUUGCGGCUAUGUACAGUCAAACACUGUGAGGAUAUCGAACGCCGCUUCUGCUUUGAAGUGGUGUCCCCCACCAAGAGCUGUAUGAUGCAGGCUGACUCUGAGAAGUUGAGGCAGGCCUGGAUCAAAGCUGUCCAGAACAGCAUUGCCACUGCCUUCAGGGAGCAGGGAGAGGACGCUGAGAAGCUGGACCGGAAGUCUUCCACGUCCACAGGCAGCCUGGACUCGGGCGGCGAGCCCAAAGAGAGGUCACUAAAGGGGGAGAGCGCCCUCCAGAGGGUCAUAGUCAUUGGGGGCAACGCCUGCUGCUGUGACUGUGGCCAGCCUGACCCACGCUGGGCCAGCAUCAACCUGGGCAUCACCCUCUGCAUCCAGUGCUCUGGGAUACACAGGAGUCUGGGGGUCCAUUUCUCCAAAGUGCGCUCGCUCACCCUGGACUCCUGGGAACCGGAACUACUCAAGCUGAUGUGUGAGCUGGGUAAUGGGGUCAUCAACCAGAUCUACGAGGCUCGGAGAGAGGAGCUGGGAGCCAGGAAGCCAAAGCCGGCAGACCCUAGGCAGGAGAUCGAAGCCUACAUCAGGGCUAAGUACGUGGACCGGCGUUUCGUGCAGCGCCUGUCCAAUGAAGAGUUGCGCUCCAAGGUGGUAUCCCUGUCCAGGCAGGAGAAGAGGCUGAGCAGCAGCACGGAACACCUGCCCCCCCGGCCGCCCCCGUCCACGCCCAAACUCCGUCCCGCCUCCAACGCCUCAGGUCAGUCCGCUGCAGCCAAGGGCUUGGAGGCGCGCCGCGACUCUCUCUUCUGUCCCGACGAGCUUGACUCGCUCUUCUUCUACUUUGACACCUCUGCCAAGCUCAGGAGCAUAAGAAGUGCAGACAGUGGUAUCCAGAACAGUGCUGAUGGGAGUAGAGAGAUGCUGGCCAAGAACCCCUCCACCAACAACCUGGCUGAAGCAGAAGCUGCCGAGGCGCCCCCCAUGGCCAUGCCUGCCACCCUGCCCCCUCCAUCGCCCUGUAAGGAGCUGGUGGUGUUCACGGAGCCCAAGGAGUACUCCCCGGGGCUGCAGCUGUACUGGGCCUCGCGUGCCCGCAGCCUGCCCGACAUGGCCGAGGCCCUGGCGCACGGAGCAGAGGUCAACUGGGUCAACACCGACGACGACAAGAGGACCCCGCUCAUCAUGGCUGUGCAGGGGGGCUCGUUGGUGACCUGUGAGUUCCUGCUCCAGAACGCGGGAAACGUGAACCAGCAGGACGCACUGGGCCGAGGACCCCUCCACCAUGCCACCAUCCUGGGACACACCGGUCAAGUGUGUUUAUUCCUGAAAAGAGGAGCCAAUCAGAAUGCGGCAGACAUUGAAGCGAAAACGCCCCUAUCCAUGGCGGUGGACGCAGCCAACGCAGACAUAGUCACAUUACUGCGAUUGGCCAAGAUGAACGAGGAGAUGCGGGAGGCGGAGGGGCCCUACAUGCAGUCAGGUCAAUAUUCUACCAACAGCCCCACAGAGAUGCAAUACAGGAAGUGCAUGCAGGAGUUCAUUUGCCUGCAGUUGGCUGAGCCUUAGAGAUCAUAGAGCCCCAAUACACAGACAGGAGAAGCAACAUACCUUUAUUAAGCAGGCAUUUGGCCCUGCGAUGUCCUGUGUUGUUCAAUACCCACUUUAUUAAGCAGGCAUUUGGCCCUGCGAUGUCCUGUGUUGUUCAAUACCCACUUUAUUAAGCAGGCAUUUGGCCCUGCGAUGUCCUGUGUUCAAUACCAGCCAGGUGGUGAGCGAAGCUGCAUUUUGUGUUUAGAGAGAGGUGCUAGACUUUUAUUUAUGUGACCAACCGGGGUCAAAGACAGCCGUAGAGCCAUUGUUUUGACUAUUGAACAGCUGUGACAUAAACAGUCGCUGGUCCUCUGAAGUCAUGGCUGUUGUUUCGUCUGUUCCGACUUUUGUCUUUUCCAACUUUCAAACAAUAGCCACGUCUUUAUUAGCUGUGAUGUCGAAGAGCGCUUUGCAACAGAGGUUGUCAUUAUAUCGAACAGCAAUGCUACGUCAGUCUUGACUAACAGGAAGUAAUCCUGACUUUGGAAUGCCAGUUUUCACCAUCAGGCUGUUGAGUGGCUAGCCGUGUGUUGCCAUGCACCAGGUGUGAUGAUUAGUGAUUUACCUGAGGGAAUAUUUAUGCACAUUCCUGGGAUGCUUAUGCAAUAUUUCAGUGUGUUACAUGUUUGGUUUCCACAGUGAGUCUUCACCUCCCCCUUUUUAAAAUACCUUUUCUUCCUCUCUUGUUUGAACUGUUUACCGUUACAAUGAUGAAGUAUCAAUCUUGGUACAUGUUAUGUAGGCAUUUUACUUUUGUGGGGGAAGACAUAUUUUUGAAAACAGUUGCUUUUUUAAAAAUAACAAUUGGAACCAUAUAAUCGUAAGAUGUCAUUGUAAAUGAUGUGUUGUACAUAAAUAUACAUACAUUUCUAUAUCAUAUACAGUAUAAGCAGAAUAGGAAGUAAAGUUGAGGGAGAUUCUCUGAAGGCGUAAGGCGACUGUGCUUGCAUCCUUGUCUUUGUGUGUUUCUGUAUUGUGUUGUAUUUUCUACACCUGUUUUUAAGAGUAUUAAGCUUUGAUUGAUUGUUAGUCUACCUGGCUACGGUAUAGAACAUUUACCCCCUCUGGGAAUCCUGUUCUUUGUCUGACAUUUGACAUUGAGACCACCCUUAAAGGGAUACUUCUGAGACCACCCUUAAAGGGAUACUUUGGGAUUUUAGCAGAGGCCCUUCAUCUACUUCCAGAGUCAGAUGAACUUGUGGAUACCAUUUUUUAUGUCUCUGUGUCCAGUAUGAAGGAAGUUGGAGGUAGUUUUGCAAGCCAAUGCUUACUAGCGUUAGUGCAAUGACUGGAAGUCUAUGGUUAUCUGCUAGCAUGCGAAGUAUUCCUUUUAAUGUUAGCUGAGACUGGUAAGGGUGUGAAUUUUAAGUUUAGACAAGGGAUAUCAUGGUGGUAGAGGGUACCAAAAAGGAAGGACAAUAGUAUAGAAAAGUAUCUACAGCAUUUUACCACAUAGUUAUAUAAUUAACUUAAACCUAUUGGAUAAAAAAAAAAAAAAGAGACUUUCUCUAAGAAUGUGAAUAUAGGACAGCGUGAAGCUCACUCAAGUAUUGUUGGUAAAUAAUGAAUGAAAUGUACCCCUCUUCAUCCUUUAUGCUUUCAUCUUCUCCAUCGCACAGUCUGUGCCCCUGGAAAUGCGCCUGGGCCUGAUGGGUAAUUUAAAUGGGCACAAAAAGCACUUUUUAUAGUUACUGACGUAUCAAAGCUGUUUCUAGAAGUCCAUACAAGCCAAGAUGCCCCCUAGUGCUUCCUGGGUAUCGGUGUUACAUGACACUGGCUAUGUGGCCAAAGGGGAUGGAUAUCAGCUGAAAGAGAACACGCUGGCCCGAUCGCAAAUCGACCCCUACACCCUGUGCACUUGUGAAGAUCUGAGAGGAUUUGAUUGGUGUAAGCAAUAUGCUAAACAUAGGAUUUGGGUUUGGGCCAGAGACUCCAUGUCUCCAGUCAGCCAUCUUACUGUAUGUUGAGCCAGUUGGACAGUUCAGAGGCAAGACAUUGGUUGUUCAUAUUAUGUCAAUGGUGGUCUCAUGGACCAUGGAGACCAGCCAAUGGUGAUGCACGGAGGAGAUUUGGAUAUCAGUUUAAAUAUAGAGAUUUUAAUGAAUAGUGCUGUUCCUGAAAAGUCUUGUCUAAGGCUAGUUUGUAAUAGGUCUGACAGGGUGAGGAAACAACUAGUUUAUAGUGGGUCUGAUAGGGUGAGGAAACAACUAGUUUAUAGUGGGUCUGAUAGGGUGAGGAAACAACUAGUUUAUAGUGGGUCUGACAGGGUGAGGAAACAACUAGUUUAUAGUGGGUCUGACAGUGAGGAAACAACUAGUUUAUAGUGGGUCUGACAGGGUGAGGAAACAACUAGUUUAUAGUGGGUCUGACAGGGUGAGGAAACAACUAGUUUAUAGUGGGUCUGACAGUGAGGAAACAACUAGUUUAUAGUGGGUCUGACAGGGUGAGGAAACAACUAGUUUAUAGUGGGUCUGACAGUGAGGAAACAACUAGUUUAUAGUGGGUCUGACAGGGUGAGGAAACAACUAGUUUAUAGUGGGUCUGACAGGGUGAGGAAACAACUAGUUUAUAGUGGGUCUGACAGGGUGAGGAAACAACUAGUUUAUAGUGGGUCUGACAGUGAGGAAACAACUAGUUUAUAGUGGGUCUGACAGGGUGAGGAAACAACUAGUUUAUAGUGGGUCUGAUAGGGUGAGGAAACAACUAGUUUAUAGUGGGUCUGACAGGGUGAGGAAACAACUAGUUUAUAGUGGGUCUGAUAGGGUGAGGAAACAACUAGUUUAUAGUGGGUCUGACAGGGUGAGGAAACGACUAGUUUAUAGUGGGUCUGACAGGGUGAGGAAACAACUAGUUUAUAGUGGGUCUGACAGGGUGAGGAAACGACUAGUUUAUAGUGGGUCUGACAGGGUGAGGAAACAACUAGUUUAUAGUGGGUCUGACAGUGAGGAAACGACUAGUUUAGUGGGUCUGACAGGGUGAGGAAACAACUAGUUUAUAGUGGGUCUGACAGGGUGAGGAAACAACUAGUUUAUAGUGGGUCUGACAGUGAGGAAACAACUAGUUUAUAGUGGGUCUGACAGGGUGAGGAAACAACUAGUUUAUAGUGGGUCUGACAGGGUGAGGAAACAACUAGUUUAUAGUGGGUCUGACAGGGUGAGGAAACAACUAGUUUAUAGUGGGUCUGACAGGGUGAGGAAACAACUAGUUUAUAGUGGGUCUGACAGGGUGAGGAAACCACUAGUUUAUAGUGGGUCUGACAGGGUGAGGAAACAACUAGUUUAUAGUGGGUCUGACAGUGAGGAAACAACUAGUUUAUAGUGGGUCUGACAGGGUGAGGAAACAACUAGUUUAUAGUGGGUCUGACAGGGUGAGGAAACAACUAGUUUAUAGUGGGUCUGACAGUGAGGAAACAACUAGUUUAUAGUGGGUCUGACAGGGUGAGGAAACAACUAGUUUAUAGUGGGUCUGACAGUGAGGAAACAACUAGUUUAUAGUGGGUCUGACAGGGUGAGGAAACCACUAGUUUAUAGGGGGUCUGACAGGGUGAGGAAACAACUAGUUUAUAGUGGGUCUGACAGUGAGGAAACAACUAGUUUAUAGUGGGUCUGACAGGGUGAGGAAACAACUAGUUUAUAGUGGGUCUGACAGGGUGAGGAAACAACUAGUUUAUAGUGGGUCUGACAGUGAGGAAACAACUAGUUUAUAGUGGGUCUGACAGGGUGAGGAAACAACUAGUUUAUAGUGGGUCUGACAGUGAGGAAACAACUAGUUUAUAGUGGGUCUGACAGGGUGAGGAAACAACUAGUUUAUAGUGGGUCUGACAGGGUGAGGAAACAACUAGUUUAUAGUGGGUCUGACAGUGAGGAAACAACUAGUUUAUAGUGGGUCUGACAGUGAGGAAACAACUAGUUUAUAGUGGGUCUGACAGUGAGGAAACAACUAGUUUAUAGUGGGUCUGACAGGGUGAGGAAACAACUAGUUUAUAGUGGGUCUGACAGGGUGAGGAAACAACUAGUUAAUAGUGGGUCUGACAGUGAGGAAACAACUAGUUUAUAGUGGGUCUGACAGGGUGAGGAAACAACUAGUUAAUAGUGGGUCUGACAGUGAGGAAACAACUAGUUUAUAGUGGGUCUGACAGGGUGAGGAAACAACUAGUUUAUAGUGGGUCUGACAGGGUGAGGAAACGACUUGUGCAAUUACCUCUUGUGGCCACUGGAGAGAGUGCUGGAUUUAGAAAUCCCCCAAUUCACUCUGAGUGAGUGGAAUAUACAGAGGGAUAACUGUUGCGUUUGAGAGGGAGUCUUGCCCAUUCACCCUAUGAAUGGCACACAUACACAAUCCAUAUCUCAAUUGUCUCAAGGCUUAAAAAUC
This is an RNA transcript of Coregonus clupeaformis (lake whitefish), 7368 nucleotides long. It is a transcript of the gene named arf-GAP with coiled-coil, ANK repeat and PH domain-containing protein 2, with no coding region annotated. The transcript is spliced from 26 exons. NCBI's taxonomy places the organism in Eukaryota, Metazoa, Chordata, Actinopteri, Salmoniformes, Salmonidae. The record is from RefSeq and is a predicted model, not a curated record.